GUUAUAUUGGCAGAGAAGUGCGGUGGGCUUAGGAUUCAUAAAUGUAUAUAUUACAUAUAAUA
RNAcentral lists this transfer RNA (62 nucleotides) under Polionemobius taprobanensis. RNAcentral's name for it is "tRNA-Leu". The record is from RNAcentral. Lineage: Eukaryota; Metazoa; Arthropoda; Insecta; Orthoptera; Trigonidiidae.